AAGAUGUAUUCCUAUAAAGGAUCCUGAAAUAGUCCGAACAUCUCAGGAUGAGGGUGAGUUACAUUUUUUUUGUAAGUAUAAACUUGAGAUAAGUUGGAGUAUGGAAAGAUUAAUGCCUUUUCUUUAAUAGCAGUGUUUGAUCCAAGACCACAGAAAUGAUGUGAGUACCCAAGCGAAGUCCAGAAAGGAUUGUUGUCCACUAUUAAUAGCCUGGUGGAUCAAGGAGUGCCAGUGCAAUGACCCACUCUUUCAACAUCCUCAAAGGCAUCUAAUUGUUCAGGACAUACUGAGUAUCUGCACUUACAGAAAUCAAGCCUCAAGUGGAACUCCCCUGAAAGCAAGGCACCGGGAAGCCAAGAUUAGUUUUCAGAAAUUACCAUCACAGAUGGCUUCCUGCAAUACAAAGAAGGCUCCUGGCAAGGCAGUUUGCUGGAUAACAUUCGAAUUGGAUGUGAUGGAAUUUCAAGGUGAGAUCAGUAUCUGGAACCAUGAUGCAAUUUAUGCUGUUAUCAUUUCAUGAACUUCUGCAAAUCUGCUCCUGAUAAUGUAUUAUAAUAAUACUGAUGAUCAGAACUGGAUUUGAAAAUUCAUGAAGACUGACGUCAGCUGCCACUGU
This 616-nucleotide long non-coding RNA is filed under the name Anser brachyrhynchus (Pink-footed goose). Its description in RNAcentral is "lncRNA (ENSABRG00000011687.1)". Lineage: Eukaryota; Metazoa; Chordata; Aves; Anseriformes; Anatidae. The record is from RNAcentral.